GUGCCAGCCGCCGCGGUAAUACGGAGGGUGCGAGCGUUAAUCGGAAUUACUGGGCGUAAAGCGCACGUAGGCGGUCAGGCAAGUCGGGUGUGAAAGCCCUGGGCUCAACCUGGGAAUUGCAUUCGAAACUAUCUGACUCGAGUAUGGGAGAGGGAAGCGGAAUUUCCGGUGUAGCGGUGAAAUGCGUAGAUAUCGGAAGGAACACCAGUGGCGAAGGCGGCUUCCUGGACUAAUACUGACGCUGAGGUGCGAAAGCGUGGGGAGCAAACAGGAUUAGAAACCCUCGUAGUCC
RNAcentral lists this ribosomal RNA (292 nucleotides) under uncultured bacterium. Its description in RNAcentral is "partial 16S ribosomal RNA". It matches the Rfam family "Bacterial small subunit ribosomal RNA", at positions 505 to 796 of the family's 1533-position model. The record is from RNAcentral.